GAUGAACGCUGGCGGCGUGCCUAAUACAUGCAAGUCGAGCGAACAGACGAGGAGCUUGCUCCUCUGACGUUAGCGGCGGACGGGUGAGUAACACGUGGAUAACCUACCUAUAAGACUGGGAUAACUUCGGGAAACCGGGGCUAAUACCGGAUAAUAUAUUGAACCGCAUGGUUCAAUAGUUAAAGACGGUUUUGCUGUCACUUAUAGAUGGAUCCGCGCCGCAUUAGCUAGUUGGUAAGGUAACGGCUUACCAAGGCAACGAUGCGUAGCCGACCUGAGAGGGUGAUCGGCCACACUGGAACUGAGACACGGUCCAGACUCCUACGGGAGGCAGCAGUAGGGAAUCUUCCGCAAUGGGCGAAAGCCUGACGGAGCAACGCCGCGUGAGUGAUGAAGGUCUUCGGAUCGUAAAACUCUGUUAUUAGGGAAGAACAAAUGUGUAAGUAACUAUGCACGUCUUGACGGUACCUAAUCAGAAAGCCACGGCUAACUACGUG
Molecule: ribosomal RNA, 497 nt
Filed under: uncultured bacterium
Lineage: Bacteria
Description: partial 16S ribosomal RNA
Rfam family: Bacterial small subunit ribosomal RNA
Source: RNAcentral